GUUUGAAAGUCUCCUCCCAGAAGAAGAUUACGAAGUGGAGUUUGUCCAGAACGCGCUGGCACAGUCUCCUGAAGAAGCCUCCAGUCGGGUAAAGCUUUAAUCUUUACUGCUUCACAGUUGAGUGAUAGUUUCAGCUUCACCACAUCUCCACCUCUUCUCUCUCAGGGCCAUGGUGUUCGCUCACAUGUGCCUCUGCAGCACUUCAUACACUUUAUCGUCCUGGUUGCCAACAUACUUCAAAGAAUCAUUUCCGGACGCCAAAGUACGUUUUCUCAAUAUUUUCUAAUAAACCGCCGGCUGCACAGAUUGUUUCAAUAAAGCCAUAAGAAAAGGGCUUCAUUUCUUGGCUCUGCUUCUUCUCUUGCAGGGAUGUGUGUAUAAUGUGAUUCCAUGGCUUGUUGCAAUUCCAUCAGCCCUCGCUGGAGGAUACACCUCAGACUUUCUCAUCAAUCAAGGUAUGAAACAAAUUAUCCUAACCCUAACCCUUUCAUCGCAAACUAAAAGAUGUUGACUCCUUGUGUUUUCUCUGUAGGAUAUGAAGUCUCUUUGGUGAGAAAGAUCAUGCAGGUGAGUGUUGAAACAGGUGUCCAGUACUCCAGUGUAGGGGAGACCGGGGUUGGUUGACUCACUUUUCACUCCAUAGUUUAUGUGAGAAUGUAUUUGAACGAGUAGUAAAUAAAAGGUUAAGGUAUCAGCUAUAGGGCAUCCCGGUAGCACAGGCGACACAUAUACAAAGGCUGAGUCCGACCCGUGGCUGUAUGUCUUUCUCCUUGUCUCUCUCCCCCUUUCACAUUCUACACUUCUCUAUCUCCCCCUUUCACAUUCUACACUUCUCUAUCUCCCCCUUUCACAUUCUACACUUCUCUAUCUCCCCCUUUCACAUUCUACACUUCUCUAUCUCCCCCUUUCACAUUCUACACUUCUCUAUCUCCCCCUUUCACAUUCUACACUUCUCUAUCUCCCCCUUUCACAUUCUACACUUCUCUAUCUCUCUCCCCCUUUCACAUUGUACACUUCUCUCUCUCCCCUUUCACAUUCUACACUUCUCUCUCUCUCCCUUUCACAUUCUACACUUCUCUUUCUCUCUCCCUUUCACAUUCUACACUUCUCUCUCUCUCUCUCUCCCUUUCACAUUCUACACUUCUCGCUCUUCCCUCUUUCACAUUCUACACUUCUCUCUCUCUCUCCCUUUCACAUUCUACACUUCUCGCUCUCCCUCUUUCACAUUCUACACUUCUCUCUCUCUCUCCCUUUCACAUUCUACACUUCUCGCUCUCCCUCUUUCACAUUCUACACUUAUCUCUCUCCCCAUUUCACAUUCUACACUUCUCUAUCUCUUUCACAUUCUACACUUCUCUCUCUCUUUCACAUUCUACACUUCUCUCUCUCUUUCACAUUCUACACUUCUCUCUCUCUUUCACAUUCUACACCUUCUCUCUCUCUCCCUCUUUCACAUUCUACACUUCUCUCUCCCUUUCACAUUCUACACUUCUCUCUCUCUUUCACAUUCUACACUUCUCUCUCUCUUUCACAUUCUAAACUUCUCUCUCUCUCUAUACUUCUCUCUCUCUUUCACAUUCUACACUUCUCUCUCUCCUUCUACAAUUCUCUCUCUCCCCCUUUCAAAUUGUUGUACACUGACCCUGUUGCACAAAUAAUACAACCUCGAAACAAAUUAAGAUCCACAAGGGGUGCCGUCAGGGGUGUCCUCUAUCACCACUUUUGUUUAUAAUGGCAAUAGAACCGCUGGCUAUAGCUGUUCGGUCUCAUCCAAAGAUCUCUGGUACUAUAGGUCAAACAGACCACCGCUUAGCUUUAUAUGCUGAUGACGUCAUCGUGUUUCUCAGGGAUUUGGAGAGAUCAAUUCCAGUAUUAUUAGAAGUGAUGGGAACAUUUGGUGAAUCUUCCAGUUACAAAAUUAAUCAUUCCAAAUCUUCCAUAAUGUUAUUAAAUUCCAAAGAGAGAAGUAGUCCGACUGCAUCAGUCUCCCAGUUUAAAGUUGUAGAUAAUUUUACAUAUUUGGGUGUAAAUAUAGUGCCCAAUAUAACAGAUGUGGUGAAUUCUAAUUACGAUCCUGUUAUGGAGUCAAUUACCAGAACAAUUGAUCGAUGGAAGCCGAUGUCCAUCUCCUUAGUAUAUUAAAAAUGAACAUACUCCCCAAGUUGCUCUAUCUAUUCCAAAACAUCCUCCUGCCUCCUCCUCCAAACUUAUUUUCAAAGUUAAGGAAAUUAUUUUUAAGUGAUUAAUUAAUUAUUCUGUCGUGUCAGAGGCAAAG
This 2275-nucleotide long non-coding RNA is filed under the name Cottoperca gobio. Its description in RNAcentral is "lncRNA (ENSCGOG00000004419.1)". Lineage: Eukaryota; Metazoa; Chordata; Actinopteri; Perciformes; Bovichtidae. The record is from RNAcentral.